RNAcentral lists this ribosomal RNA (801 nucleotides) under Acinetobacter sp. enrichment culture. RNAcentral's name for it is "bacterial SSU rRNA". It matches the Rfam family "Bacterial small subunit ribosomal RNA", at positions 599 to 1398 of the family's 1533-position model. Lineage: Bacteria; Pseudomonadati; Pseudomonadota; Gammaproteobacteria; Moraxellales; Moraxellaceae. The record is from RNAcentral.
CCCCCGAGGCUUAACUUGGGAAUUGGCAUUCGAUACUGGUUGGCUAGAGUAUGGGAGAGGAUGGUAGAAUUCCAGGUGUAGCGGUGAAAUGCGUAGAGAUCUGGAGGAAUACCGAUGGCGAAGGCAGCCAUCUGGCCUAAUACUGACACUGAGGUGCGAAAGCAUGGGGAGCAAACAGGAUUAGAUACCCUGGUAGUCCAUGCCGUAAACGAUGUCUACUAGCCGUUGGGGCCUUUGAGGCUUUAGUGGCGCAGCUAACGCGAUAAGUAGACCGCCUGGGGAGUACGGUCGCAAGACUAAAACUCAAAUGAAUUGACGGGGGCCCGCACAAGCGGUGGAGCAUGUGGUUUAAUUNGAUGCAACGCGAAGAACCUUACCUGGUCUUGACAUAGUAAGAACUUUCCAGAGAUGGAUUGGUGCCUUCGGGAACUUACAUACAGGUGCUGCAUGGCUGUCGUCAGCUCGUGUCGUGAGAUGUUGGGUUAAGUCCCGCAACGAGCGCAACCCUUUUCCUUAUUUGCCAGCGGGCUAAGCCGGGAACUUUAAGGAUACUGCCAGUGACAAACUGGAGGAAGGCGGGGACGACGUCAAGUCAUCAUGGCCCUUACGACCAGGGCUACACACGUGCUACAAUGGUCGGUACAAAGGGUUGCUACCUCGCGAGAGGAUGCUAAUCUCAAAAAGCCGAUCGUAGUCCGGAUUGGAGUCUGCAACUCGACUCCAUGAAGUCGGAAUCGCUCGUAAUCGCGGAUCAGAAUGCCGCGGUGAAUACGUUCCCGGGCCUUGUACACACCGCCCGUG